RNAcentral lists this ribosomal RNA (724 nucleotides) under Sulfolobus sp. A20-N-F6. RNAcentral describes it as "partial 23S ribosomal RNA". It matches the Rfam family "Bacterial large subunit ribosomal RNA", at positions 1173 to 2014 of the family's 2925-position model. The record is from RNAcentral. Lineage: Archaea; Thermoproteati; Thermoproteota; Thermoprotei; Sulfolobales; Sulfolobaceae.
UAACGGGGCCAGAGCCAGGCGGCGAAGACAUGGGUUUGCAGUUUACUGCAAGCGGUAGCGGAGCGUUCCGUAGGCCGGGGAAGGUCAACCGUGAGGUUGGCUGGAGGUAUCGGAAGUGAGAAUGCUGACAUGAGUAACGAUAAACAGAGUGAGAAACUCUGUCGCCGAAAGACCAAGGGUUCCUGCGUAAAGCUAAUCUGCGCAGGGUUAGUCGGCCCCUAAGGCGAGGCUGAAAAGCGUAGUCGAUGGGACGCAGGUAAAUAUUCCUGCACCAGCUGGAAGUGACGGAUGGCAUAACUUGUAAGGGCUUAUUGGAUUGUCCUUGCAGGGGCGUUGUCCCUGGAAAUAACUCCAGCAGAGACCGUACCCGAAACCGACACAGGUGGUCAGGUAGAGCAUACCAAGGCGCUUGAGAGAACUGUGCUGAAGGAACUCGGCAAAUUGCACGCGUAACUUCGGAAUAAGCGUGACUCACCCUGCGCAAGCAGGAAUGAGUGGCACAAGCCAGGGGGUAGCGACUGUUUAGCAAAAACACAGGGCUCUGCGAAGCAGCAAUGCGACGUAUAGGGUCUGACGCCUGCCCGGUGCCUGAAGGUUAAAGGGAGGAGUGAAAGCUCCGAACUGAAGCCCAGGUAAACGGCGGCCGUAACUAUAACGGUCCUAAGGUAGCGAAAUUCCUUGUCGGGUAAGUUCCGACCUGCACGAAUGGCGUAACGACUUCCCC